RNAcentral lists this ribosomal RNA (159 nucleotides) under Symbiodinium sp. MMSG-2000. RNAcentral describes it as "5.8S ribosomal RNA". It matches the Rfam family "5.8S ribosomal RNA". From Rfam's summary of the family: 5.8S ribosomal RNA (5.8S rRNA) is a component of the large subunit of the eukaryotic ribosome. It is transcribed by RNA polymerase I as part of the 45S precursor that also contains 18S and 28S rRNA. Lineage: Eukaryota; Dinophyceae; Suessiales; Symbiodiniaceae. The record is from RNAcentral.
ACAACUUUCAGCGGCGGAUAUCUCGGCUCAGGCACCUAUGAAGGGCGCAGCGAAGCGUGAUAGUCUUUGUGAAUUGCAGAUCUCCGUGAACCAAUGGCCCCCUGAACGCGCAUUGCACUCUUGGGACUUCCUGAGAGUAUGUUUGCUUCAGUGCUUAUU